UCGUCCCAGGUUCGAGUCUGAAACUCUCUUACAAUAGAGAUCAGAGAGCAAUGUCUCAGAUACAACUGCAUAAUCAACAUUUGAGUGCAGAGUCUGUUGAGUUUUCUCUAGGGAGGAAAGGCCUCGAUGAUGAGUUGAGUUCACAUCGAACCUGUUUAGCACUUCCAAAGGAAUUUCCUUCACAGGUUUUUCGACUCUGCCAGUUCAUUUGCACGUGAAAAAUGGCUUCUGAGAAGGCAAAUGCAAGGGUUCCAGACAGCUGCACCAGCAGCAACCAAGCAGCUCUUGCAGAAAGAACAACGAACACGAAUAGCACAACCAAUUCCAACUUUGGGAAAGCACUAGCACAGAGAGCACUUUUCAGAUCACGUCGUCGUCAAUGGGUUGGGGGCAGAAAGACUACAAACAAUGAGGCCAAGUCAUUACCAAGCAGGCUAAGCAAGGUUUCCUUGGCUGAAGAUUCAGAAAAUCAGUGAAUGGGUUUUGCACCAUUUGCAGUGCGGUCCGUGUAGAUUCCUCUUUGCAGUUAAACACUAUAUAUUGUAAAGGCAUUAAAUCCUGUAACAGACAAUAAGGUAAAAUGAUUUUCUAUCU
Vitis riparia (riverbank grape) is the source of this 594-nucleotide long non-coding RNA. RefSeq lists it as uncharacterized. The transcript is spliced from 2 exons. The record is from RefSeq and is a predicted model, not a curated record. NCBI's taxonomy places the organism in Eukaryota, Viridiplantae, Streptophyta, Magnoliopsida, Vitales, Vitaceae.